Molecule: ribosomal RNA, 593 nt
Filed under: Salmonella enterica subsp. enterica serovar Idikan
Lineage: Bacteria; Pseudomonadati; Pseudomonadota; Gammaproteobacteria; Enterobacterales; Enterobacteriaceae
Description: partial 23S ribosomal RNA
Rfam family: Bacterial large subunit ribosomal RNA
Source: RNAcentral
AGUCUUAACCGGGCGUUAAGUUGCAGGGUAUAGACCCGAAACCCGGUGAUCUAGCCAUGGGCAGGUUGAAGGUUGGGUAACACUAACUGGAGGACCGAACCGACUAAUGUUGAAAAAUUAGCGGAUGACCUGUGGCUGGGGGUGAAAGGCCAAUCAAACCGGGAGAUAGCUGGUUCUCCCCGAAAGCUAUUUAGGUAGCGCCUCGUGAAUUCAUCUCCGGGGGUAGAGCACUGUUUCGGCUAGGGGGCCAUCCCGGCUUACCAACCCGAUGCAAACUGCGAAUACCGGAGAAUGUUAUCACGGGAGACACACGGCGGGUGCUAACGUCCGUCGUGAAGAGGGAAACAACCCAGACCGCCAGCUAAGGUCCCAAAGUCAUGGUUAAGUGGGAAACGAUGUGGGAAGGCCCAGACAGCCAGGAUGUUGGCUUAGAAGCAGCCAUCAUUUAAAGAAAGCGUAAUAGCUCACUGGUCGAGUCGGCCUGCGCGGAAGAUGUAACGGGGCUAAACCAUGCACCGAAGCUGCGGCAGCGACGCUUAUGCGUUGUUGGGUAGGGGAGCGUUCUGUAAGCCUGUGAAGGUGGCCUGUGAGGG